Molecule: ribosomal RNA, 301 nt
Filed under: uncultured bacterium
Lineage: Bacteria
Description: partial 16S ribosomal RNA
Rfam family: Bacterial small subunit ribosomal RNA
Source: RNAcentral
CAGCCGCCGCGGUAAUACGUAGGUCCCGAGCGUUGUCCGGAUUUAUUGGGCGUAAAGCGAGCGCAGGCGGUUAGAUAAGUCUGAAGUUAAAGGCUGUGGCUUAACCAUAGUACGCUUUGGAAACUGUUUAACUUGAGUGCAAGAGGGGAGAGUGGAAUUCCAUGUGUAGCGGUGAAAUGCGUAGAUAUAUGGAGGAACACCGGUGGCGAAAGCGGCUCUCUGGUCUGUAACUGACGCUGAGGAGCGAAAGCGUGGGGAGCGAACAGGAUUAGAUACCCCCGUAGUCCCUGUCUCUUAUACA